Molecule: ribosomal RNA, 327 nt
Filed under: uncultured eukaryote
Lineage: Eukaryota
Description: partial 18S ribosomal RNA
Rfam family: Eukaryotic small subunit ribosomal RNA
Source: RNAcentral
CCCUUAGAUGUUCUGGGCCGCGCGCGCGCUACACUGACAGAGCCAACGAGUUCUUCACCUUGGCCGAAAGGUCUGGGUAAUCUCCAAAUUUCGUCGUGAUGGGGAUAGAUUAUUGCAAUUAUUAAUCUUCAACGAGGAAUGCCUAGUAAGCGCAAGUCAUCAGCUUGCGUUGAUUACGUCCCUGCCCUUUGUACACACCGCCCGUCGCUCCUACCGAUUGAAUGGUCCGGUGAAGCGUUCGGACCGUGGCCUUUGGACGGUUCGCCGUCUGUUGGCUGCGGGAAGUUCGUUAAACCUUAUCAUUUAGAGGAAGGAGAAGUCGUAACA